This 429-nucleotide ribosomal RNA is filed under the name Actinomycetes bacterium. RNAcentral's name for it is "Actinobacteria bacterium partial 16S ribosomal RNA". It matches the Rfam family "Bacterial small subunit ribosomal RNA", at positions 355 to 776 of the family's 1533-position model. The record is from RNAcentral. Lineage: Bacteria; Bacillati; Actinomycetota; Actinomycetes.
UAGGGAAUCUUCCGCAAUGGGCGAAAGCCUGACGGAGCAACGCCGCGUGAGUGAUGAAGGUCUUCGGAUCGUAAAACUCUGUUAUUAGGGAAGAACAAAUGUGUAAGUAACUAUGCACGUCUUGACGGUACCUAAUCAGAAAGCCACGCCUAACUACGUGCCAGCAGCCGCGGUAAUACGUAGGUGGCAAGCGUUAUCCGGAAUUAUUGGGCGUAAAGCGCGCGUAGGCGGUUUUUUAAGUCUGAUGUGAAAGCCCACGGCUCAACCGUGGAGGGUCAUUGGAAACUGGAAAACUUGAGUGCAGAAGAGGAAAGUGGAAUUCGAUGUGUAGCGGUGAAAUGCGCAGAGAUAUGGAGGAACACCAGUGGCGAAGGCGACUUGCUGGUCUGUAACUGACGCUGAUGUGCGAAAGCGUGGGGAUCAAACAGG